CCCGCGCCCCCUGCCGGUGCCCUCCCCGCCCGGCCCUAGCUCUCUCGCCUUCUCGCCCGCCCGGCGCUGGCCCUGCUGGAUCCUGCGCGCCGGGGACUGGGGGCUGGCAGUGCAGACCGAACCCGGGGCCGAGGGGCUUCUCCACAGAGCCGCCUGGGGCUCGGUGGGGGGCGCUCAGCUCGACCCCAGCUAAGGGAGCACUAGGAAGUGCGGGCGUCCCCUUCCCUGCACCCUUGCGGGGCGGGAACCGUCGACCUAGAAGAAAAAAAAAGCUGAGGCAAACUUGAUAUAAGUAGAGAGGUUAUUUGGGCCAAGUUUGAAGAUUGCAACCCGGGAGCAUAGCUUCAAGUUGCCCUGAACAUAGGAUUUGCAACAGUGACAAAGGUGAGGCCAGAGAAGUGACAAGACAGAUGCCAGUCCAGCAGGUGGGCAUGUCCAGAAAGUGCAGCCUCAGGACACGGUCUGGGAACAAAGACUGCUGGAGAGUUGGAAGCUGGCAAGAGGCUCUCAGCUGUGAAGUACCUGGGGUGGGGGAGAAGUGGUCGGAGAAAGCAGAGUCUUGAGUAUGUCUUUAUCUGAAGCAUGAAAACGGACUAAUAUACCCAGGUUGGAGUGCAGUGGCGCCAUCUUGACUUACUGCAGCCUUGACCUCCAGCUUUCAAACGAUCCUCCUCCCUUGGCCUCCCAAAGUGUUGGGGUCACAGGUGUGAACCACCAUGUCCAGCCAGCCCUUGGGUUUUGAGAUGCUCAAGUUACAGAGAAGCAACAUUUUGAAUAAAUCCACAAAAGCGUAGAAGAUCAUCUCAUCGGUUUCUGUGUGUGAAGUUUCAUGCUUAUCUAACUGCAUUUAGGAAAAUUCACGUGUACAUUUUUCCCAAGGGGAGCGAGAGGAUGUGAGCGUUCUACUUGUUCAUUUCAUAUCUGCUUUUACAAAUUCAUAGGGAGGGUGAGGAAGGAGCUGUGGUUCUCAUUGCGACUGAUGUUUGAUUAUUUGAUUCAGGAAUUUCACUUCUGGGAACUUGACUUAGGGAAAUGCUCUCAGAGACGCGUGCGAUGUUGUUUGUAACAAGCACAUGUGGAGAUGUCCCGGGCCCCUCAUGAGGCGGCUGCUUGUGUCCGUUUGUACCUCUUGCCAGCUGUGCAGUGUCGCUCAGCUCCCAGAAGGAGGGAGGCAGGUCCAGGCAUUGAUGGUUAGUUUUGUUUUUUUUUUUGAGAAGGAGUCUCCC
This 1226-nucleotide long non-coding RNA is filed under the name Homo sapiens (human). RNAcentral's name for it is "HSALNT0274168". Lineage: Eukaryota; Metazoa; Chordata; Mammalia; Primates; Hominidae. The record is from RNAcentral.